This 1248-nucleotide small RNA is filed under the name Caenorhabditis elegans. RNAcentral describes it as "Unclassified non-coding RNA H38K22.10". Lineage: Eukaryota; Metazoa; Nematoda; Chromadorea; Rhabditida; Rhabditidae. The record is from RNAcentral.
GGCAAAACUAGUCGGUCCAAAAACGGCAACGUCUCAAAAGUCUGUGAAAGAUGUUCAUUGCCCUGUUUCCCAGUAAGACUUUAUAAAGGCGGCGAAUUUUGAAAUUGUAUGAAUUUAUUUCAGAGCUCCUCCAACAUCGAUGCCAAUUGAAAGCACAACUGGAAAAGCUCCUGAUGACACGUUGGCGUAAGUAUUGGAGAUGUCGAAAAGUUUAUUUUAUAAAAAUCUGAAAUUGUGUAUAAUAUUUCAGAAACGUUGUCUCGAUUCAACCGGACUUUUCGACUGGAGCUCCACCAAUUCCCGCACAGUAAUACCUGAAUAAAUAUUUAUGAAUUUGUAUUUAUUUUAUGUAGUUUUGUUAAGUUGGCUGUUACGUUUUAAAAGUACUCGCAGUUCAGUUCUGUCCUACGCCUGACUCGUGCCUACUGCAUCAUUUUUCAAAAACUUUCUCAGUUACUCUUUAAAGUAGUUAUUUUCAAUGAAGAGCUCGCGCUCAGUGUCUACACGCUGGGACGGCCCGCACACCUCAAGAUGUACCUACCUACCAAGAAAGACUAACUUGAAAAUAAAUCACAGAUUACGGUUGAUUUCCUGAUUCUUCUUUUUACAAAUGAAACAAUUAACGUGACCCUACUUUCCCUAAGAAAUAAAACAUUCAAAAACAAAAUCAAUCAAUAUUAGAUCUCAUUUUCACUAGAACCAUCAUCAUUAUUUUCAUCUUGCUCAUAUGUAUAACAAUGCACAGUUUUUGGUUUAUUUUGGAUUGUGUGAGUUCAAUUUUAGGUUACAGUAUUCGCGGCGAGACCCAACUUACCUUUUCCAGGGUUUUGAUGGCACAUUAUGCGCCUUUAACUCGCGGGUACUAUAGCUUUUACGCUCUUUAUUUUUUACCUUUUCUGCAACUGAGAAGGGUAUGCGCCUUCAAGGGAUACUGUAAUUUUUCACACACUGGGUUUUGUUUUUUUUUGUUGAAUUAUUUUCUUUAGAAAAAAAACGAAAAAAUGAAUACCGUACUCCUUUAAAGGUGCACGCCUCUUUCGCAACUUUCAAAAAAUUUUGGUCGCGUCGAGACCUAGUCUUGCAGUUGAAAAGUUUAAAAAGUAAAAUAACAGUAAAAACAGCUCAAAAAUUCGCAAAAUUCUUCCUCCUCCAAAACUGAAAUGUUUUCAGAUUUUUCUAUUUUCCCUCGCGACUUGCCUCGUCCAAUGUGAAAAAUCCGAAAGAAAGAAGUUCCGAAGUGAUAAGAAA